AUCCAGUUGACGAGUCCCAAAUAAGACAAAACGCGUGUUCUGGAU
This 45-nucleotide non-coding RNA is filed under the name Schistosoma margrebowiei. The record is from RNAcentral. Lineage: Eukaryota; Metazoa; Platyhelminthes; Trematoda; Strigeidida; Schistosomatidae.